This 253-nucleotide ribosomal RNA is filed under the name uncultured bacterium. RNAcentral describes it as "partial 16S ribosomal RNA". It matches the Rfam family "Bacterial small subunit ribosomal RNA", at positions 524 to 776 of the family's 1533-position model. The record is from RNAcentral.
UACGAAGGGUGCAAGCGUUACUCGGAAUUACUGGGCGUAAAGCGUGCGUAGGUGGUUUGUUAAGUCUGAUGUGAAAUCCCCGGGCUCAACCUGGGAAUGGCAUUGGAUACUGGCAGGCUAGAGUGCGGUAGAGGGUGGUGGAAUUCCCGGUGUAGCAGUGAAAUGCGUAGAGAUCGGGAGGAACAUCUGUGGCGAAGGCGGCCACUUGGACCAGCACUGACACUGAGGCACGAAAGCGUGGGGAGCAAACAGG